UACAGAGGGUGCGAGCGUUAAUCGGAAUUACUGGGCGUAAAGCGCGCGUAGGCGGCUUUGCAAGUCGGGUGUGAAAUCCCCAGGCUUAACCUGGGAAUUGCGCUUGAAACUAGCGGGCUUGAGUGUGGCAGAGGGGGGUGGAAUUCCACGUGUAGCAGUGAAAUGCGUAGAGAUGUGGAGGAACACCGAUGGCGAAGGCAGCCCCCUGG
RNAcentral lists this ribosomal RNA (209 nucleotides) under uncultured prokaryote. RNAcentral describes it as "partial 16S ribosomal RNA". It matches the Rfam family "Bacterial small subunit ribosomal RNA", at positions 524 to 732 of the family's 1533-position model. The record is from RNAcentral.